GACCGCUGCACUCCGCCCAACAGCAUCCUCUGUUUCCACACUAUGUUUUCCAUCCCGACGUUACUGUUUACACUCACCGAGUGUGUGUUGACGGAGGAGACUCGCCUCUUUGUGAAGUCGGGACGAAUGUCAGAAGGUGCUGGGUUCACGCCAAGAAGAUUCACAUGAUCUGAAGGAAAGAGAUAUGAAAACGCAUGGACGUUUGAUUCCCACACCUAUUAGGCCAUCCUCAUCAAAUAAAGACUAGGCCAUGAUUUAAAUGGUCAGCUUUCUAGGAAUCCC
Molecule: long non-coding RNA, 282 nt
Organism: Clarias gariepinus (North African catfish)
Lineage: Eukaryota; Metazoa; Chordata; Actinopteri; Siluriformes; Clariidae
Exons: 3
Source: RefSeq, a predicted model, not a curated record